CCAGUUCCUCCCUCCCGGGAAUGUUGAGAGAAAAUGGAGUCUGGUUAUCUCACUGUGUGGUUGGUAUCAUACAAUGGUUGGUAUGCGUUGACUGACUGUCAGUAGGCGAGGCGGUGUUUACUGCUGCUAUAGUGAAGUUCCCGAGGGUCAGAUCCUGUAAAUCACCGCAGACAGUCUGCAGGAGCUUCCCGAACCGGUGAACGUAAAAGGAGCAGUACAUAAUCACUCAAGGAUCUAGGACAUCUGUAGGCUGCUCCCAGCCUUGUUCAAAGAUGUCUGACCUGAUAAGAGGUUUCAGGGACCAGCUGACCACCAGCAUGGACUCUGUCCUGAGGAGAGCUGUGUUUGAAAUAAUGAUGAUCUUUGAGAACAGUCUACAUGAGCAUCAGAUGGAGCUGGUGCAUAAAGGAGAGGAGGUUGCUCAACUUAAAAUGAAGUUGCAGAGAGCAGAGGUUAGGUUGACUGAAAUUGAGUGUGGCGGCAGCAGAGGAGCAGAGGUGAAGAAAGGAGGGACUGAAGAUGUUGUGAACGCCCCUGAACCAACAGAUGAUGUUCCUGAGAUUCAUUUUGAAGUACCUGAUGACUGGUGUGCUCCCCUGGGCUGUGAGACCGUAACCAAGCAAGAAUAUUUAUGUCCCAGCGUAAGACUGCGCCAGCUGUCCAUUCGUCUUUCGCCGAUUUCCAUUAAGCAGGAGAUGGAUUGGCGUGACAUUGACUCCAACCAGCGAAAAAAGGGUCUCUGGAGAUCCGGGAAAGGUUCCUUAAGAAAUGAGAAAACCAUGCAGGACAGCACCAUACCAAUACAUGGCCAAGGAACUCUCUGUCCACCACUGACAACCGACAUGAAGAAAUUGCUGCAAGGCAUAAAACGGGUGCAUACUAAAACAACAAUCAGUACCAAGAGUCUAAGUCUAAAGAGCAGAAGGCAAAAUGUAAAAGAGAAAAAAAAUACAAAGAAAAUCAUUGCAAAGGAGAUGGAAAAAAAUGGCGAUGAGAAACAGUACUCCUGCAGGUUUUGUAAGAAGGAUUUUGAUACGCUGUUUGGCCGAAAUGUACAUACACGAUCACACAAGAGAUGCAAAGGUUGCAAAGAUGAAUUCCCAUCUCCAAGUGCUCUAAAUUUGCAUAAACCAUCCUGCAUAAAACUCAAAAAGUUGUUUGCAAAAAAAGUUCGAGCCACUAACCUUCCAAAACCUGAGUCCUUAGGUGAAGAAAACAAAAGAAAAGCACUUGGCAAAAAACAGGUCCCCAUUAAAAAGGAAUGCACAGCUUCCUCUAGCAAGCCCAUCGAAUCAUCUACUCAGAAAAAUGGGGGCAACACAAAUCUAACUUGUGUACACUGCAACAAGACGUGUAGUACUAGAUGGAAUCUAGAAGAGCAUUUGACUGUUCAUUCUCGUAAAAACUCAUUCUGUUGCAGCAUGUGUCCAAAGACAUUCUACAGGAGACAGUCCCUCAGAAAACACAAAAAGAAAAUGCACAGAAGCCCAAUCCGUUCCAGGGUGACAAAUGAAAACUCUGCUUGGACCAUGCCUUUAGAGAAUACUGACGAUAUUUGUGAGGAUCUGAACUCUCCCAGAAAAGAAAAAAAUCAAGCAAACAACCAUACAGAUGUUCAGACAGAUAACACUCCAGACACAGGCCCAAGCUCAAUAUGGAAAACAAUGGGCACACGCUGCCCUGAAGGUUUCAUCUGCCGACUGUGCCCGAAGUCCUGUAAAGAUAUAUACCGGCUGAUUGAGCACUUUCGCACCCACACAGGAGAGAAUCCCAUUCAAUGCAACAAUUGUUCUAAAACGUUUCGUUUUCAUUCACUGCUUAGCGCGCACAGGAAAAACUGUCUGGAAAAGAAAAAGAUAGCACAGUGUGCACAGUGCAAGAAAACGUUUUGCUCCAAUAAAUGGUACAAUAGGCAUGUCUUGAACUGUCAGAGAGGUAUGACUUAUUCCUGUGAGGUUUGUGGAAAAGGUUUCUCCCUUAGAGGAUACCUCAAGAACCAUAUGGAGCGGUUACAUAAGGACGCCAGUUUAUAGUGAAUGUCACCUGUCUGUUGUUGAAACACUGGAUUCUUUCAUUCUCAAUGAUUCCCUGCAUUUAUGUUUUUUUAUUUUGAGAAGUGUUAAGAUCACUAUAUAACUCAUACUAUGUUGGUAUUCACCAUCACAAGUUCAUGGUCACACAUUGUGUCAUUUCAUACUAAACCAACCAGGUCACAAAAACUGCCUUUUUCCACCUCAAAAGCAUUGCCCACAUCAGACCCUCCCUCUCAUCCAACGCUGCUGAAACUCUCAUCCAUGCCUUCAUAACAUCCCGACUUGAUUACUGCAACAGCAUUGUAUUUGGUUCACCUGCAUGCAUCCUAAAUAAACUGCAAUAUGUCCAAAACUCUGCUGCCCGCUUGCUCGUCUCCACCCUACGCUCUGAUCACCUCACCCCUAUCGUCCACGACCUCCACUGGCUCCCCAUAAAACACCGGAUUGACCCCCCCCCCUACCUUGGUGACCUCAUCUGACAACACACCUCUACCCGUUGCCUCAGGUCUGCUGACGCUAAUCUACUACAGCCCAUCAGGACAGAGCUCCGGGCCUGGGGCGACGGGGCCUUUGCCGCAGCUUCCCCCACCCUGUGGAACUCCCUUCCCAGUCACAUCUGAAAGGCCAACACUCUGGGAUCCUUAAAAAAAGCUCUCAAAACUCACUUAAUCACUCUAGUUUUCUAUCUCUAAUCAACUCCCCUCCCCCCUGCUUACUCUGCGUUUAGGACUUUUUAAAAAAAUGUUUUAAUUUUUUCUGUUUUGAUUUUAUGUAAAGCGUCUUUGAGCAUUAGGAAAAGUGCUCUAUACAUCGUAUGUAUUAUUAUUAAAGAGCUUCUUUUAAUGAAUUAAAAUGUUUAAAGUGUUUUUCCACUGUGUUCCUUAUUCAUGGAUUUUGAUCUAUUGCAGUUCAAUCAGAAUUUGAAAAUGCAUACUUUAAACACUUAUUCAUAUUUCUGGUAAUGUUUUUUGUUGUUUAGGCAAACCCUUUAUAAUUAGCUUUGCAAUUUAAGUGUACUUGUGGGAGAAAUGUAAAUUCUUUCUUGCUAACUGACAGAUAUGCGAAAAGAUUACACUGGGGAGGACUUCAAAGUUAUUUCAUCCCAUGCUUGAGUCCUGAAACAAAACUGAAGUACAUAUAUUUGACAGUUUCAACUGUUUCAUGUUUUUUACAUUUUUGUGGGUAUUCAUUGUUGAUAUGGACUCAGUGGGACAUCUUACUUGACUAUUGCUCUUUAUUUUCUUAGUAAUACGUGUUAUCACUGGACAUUGUCAACAAUAACCUAUUAAAAAUAUUUACUGUA
Molecule: long non-coding RNA, 3336 nt
Organism: Eleginops maclovinus (Patagonian blennie)
Lineage: Eukaryota; Metazoa; Chordata; Actinopteri; Perciformes; Eleginopidae
Exons: 5
Source: RefSeq, a predicted model, not a curated record